CGAGGGGGGCAAGUGUUGUUCGGAAUCACUGGGCGUAAAGGGAGCGUAGGCGGAUGUUUAAGUUGGAUGUUUAAAACCGAGGCCUAACCUCGGAGCGGCAUCCAGAACUGGGCAUCUUGAAUAGGUCAGAGGCUGGUGGAAUUGGAGGUGUAGCGGUGGAAUGCGUAGAGAUCUCCAAGAACACCUAUUGCGAAGGCAGCCAGCUGGGACCAUAUUGACGCUGAGGCUCGAAAGCAUGGGGAGCAAACAGGAUUAGAUACCCUGGUAGUCCAUGCCGUAAACGAUGAACACUAGGUUUUGGGCUCGUCAACGGUCCAGAGCCGCAGCUAACGCGUUAAGUGUUCCGCCUGGGGAAUACGGUCGCAAGACUG
RNAcentral lists this ribosomal RNA (371 nucleotides) under uncultured organism. Its description in RNAcentral is "bacterial SSU rRNA". It matches the Rfam family "Bacterial small subunit ribosomal RNA", at positions 526 to 896 of the family's 1533-position model. The record is from RNAcentral.